RNAcentral lists this ribosomal RNA (464 nucleotides) under uncultured bacterium. RNAcentral's name for it is "partial 16S ribosomal RNA". It matches the Rfam family "Bacterial small subunit ribosomal RNA", at positions 28 to 506 of the family's 1533-position model. The record is from RNAcentral.
GAUGAACGCUGGCGGCGUGCUUAACACAUGCCAGUCGAACGGAAAGGCUCCUGCUUGCCGGGGUACUCGAGUGGCGAACGGGUGAGUAACACGUGGGUGAUCUGCCCUGCACUUCGGGAUAAGCCUGGGAAACUGGGUCUAAUACCGGAUAGGACGAUGGUUUGGAUGCCAUUGUGGAAAGUUUUUCGGUGUGGGAUGAGCUCGCGGCCUAUCAGCUUGUUGGUGGGGUAAUGGCCUACCAAGGCGUCGACGGGUAGCCGGCCUGAGAGGGUGUACGGCCACAUUGGGACUGAGAUACGGCCCAGACUCCUACGGGAGGCAGCAGUGGGGAAUAUUGCACAAUGGGCGCAAGCCUGAUGCAGCGACGCCGCGUGGGGGAUGACGGCCUUCGGGUGGUAAACUCCUUUCGCUAGGGACGAAGCGCAAGUGACGGGACCUGGAGAAGAAGCACCGGCUAACUACGU